UAGUGAGCUACAUGAUUCUGU
Caenorhabditis elegans is the source of this 21-nucleotide non-coding RNA. Lineage: Eukaryota; Metazoa; Nematoda; Chromadorea; Rhabditida; Rhabditidae. The record is from Ensembl.